This 492-nucleotide ribosomal RNA is filed under the name uncultured bacterium. Its description in RNAcentral is "partial 16S ribosomal RNA". It matches the Rfam family "Bacterial small subunit ribosomal RNA", at positions 29 to 507 of the family's 1533-position model. The record is from RNAcentral.
AGUGAACGCUGGCGGUAGGCCUAACACAUGCAAGUCGAGCGGCAGCACAGUAAGAGCUUGCUCUUACGGGUGGCGAGUGGCGGACGGGUGAGGAAUACAUCGGAAUCUACUUUUUCGUGGGGGAUAACGUAGGGAAACUUACGCUAAUACCGCAUACGACCUACGGGUGAAAGCAGGGGAUCUUCGGACCUUGCGCGAUUGAAUGAGCCGAUGUCGGAUUAGCUAGUUGGCGGGGUAAAGGCCCACCAAGGCGACGAUCCGUAGCUGGUCUGAGAGGAUGAUCAGCCACACUGGAACUGAGACACGGUCCAGACUCCUACGGGAGGCAGCGGUGGGGAAUAUUGGACAAUGGGCGCAAGCCUGAUCCAGCCAUACCGCGUGGGUGAAGAAGGCCUUCGGGUUGUAAAGCCCUUUUGUUGGGAAAGAAAAGCAGCAGGUUAAUACCCCGCUGUUCUGACGGUACCCAAAGAAUAAGCACCGGCUAACUUCGUG